ACUCAAAGGAAUUGACGGGGGCCCGCACAAGCGGAGGAACAUGUGGUUUAAUUCGAUGAUACGCGAGGAACCUUACCCGGGCUCGAACGGCAGAUGAAUAAAUGUGAAAGCAUUUAGUCGCAAGACAUCUGUCGAGGUGCUGCAUGGUUGUCGUCAGCUCGUGCCGUGAGGUGUCGGCUUAAGUGCCAUAACGAGCGCAACCCUUAUUUUCAGUUACCAUCAGAUAAUGCUGGGGACUCUGGAAAGACUGCCACCGUAAGGUGUGAGGAAGGUGGGGAUGACGUCAAAUCAGCACGGCCCUUACGUCCGGGGCGACACACGUGUUACAAUGGGGGGGACAAAAGGUUGCUACCCGGCGACGGGAUGCCAAUCCAAAAACCCUCUCCCAGUUCGGAUCGAAGUCUGCAACCCGACUUCGUGAAGCCGGAUUCGCUAGUAAUCGCGCAUCAGCCAUGGCGCGGUGAAUACGUUCCCGGGCCUUGUACACACCGCCCGU
Molecule: ribosomal RNA, 496 nt
Filed under: uncultured bacterium
Lineage: Bacteria
Description: bacterial SSU rRNA
Rfam family: Bacterial small subunit ribosomal RNA
Source: RNAcentral